ACUUCAAGAUGAGCGAGAUGACAAGAGCCAGAAACACCAUUUUGAAAAGUUGCAACUGAGGCCCCUUGGCCGGCAAAUCUGAGCUGCAGAAGCGCCUGAAUUCCGGACGUUAAACCUCCAAUCACCAGCCAGGGCAGCUCCGGCUGGGACAGCGCGGGCGCGCGGCCCCUCCACC
This is a long non-coding RNA of Homo sapiens (human), 175 nucleotides long. RefSeq annotates it as long independently transcribed non-coding RNA 404. The transcript is spliced from 2 exons. The record is from RefSeq and is marked validated. Lineage: Eukaryota; Metazoa; Chordata; Mammalia; Primates; Hominidae.